Molecule: long non-coding RNA, 1659 nt
Organism: Cyprinus carpio carpio
Lineage: Eukaryota; Metazoa; Chordata; Actinopteri; Cypriniformes; Cyprinidae
Source: Ensembl
CGCGCAUAUAUUGUGGUACUCUCCAAAAUGGCGCUAGGGUGACAUGGAGGAAAAGAAUUGUUGAAUAAAGUUAUUUUAGUUUUUUUCACAACAAUAAGUAUACUUGUAGCUUUAUAAAAUUAUGGAUGAACCACUGAUGUCACAUGGACUAUUUUGUCGAAGUUCUUGGUACCUUUCUGGACCUUGAACGUGGUAGGACCCUUGCGGUCUAUGCAGGGUCAGAAAGCUCUCGGAUUUCAUCAGAAAUAUCUUUAUUUGUGUUCCGAAGAUGAACAAGGUCUUAUGGGUUUGGAACAAUAUGAGGGUGAGUAAUUAAUGACGGAAUUAAAAUUUUUGUGUGAACUAUCCCUUUGAUAAUAUAAUUGCGUGUAAUUUGCAUAUUUAAGUAAAUUUACUAGUGAAUUGAACCGAUUCAUUGAAACAAAAGAACCAGUUCACGGAAAAGAAUGGAAUUUUCCUGUUUGCUUGAGGCUCUGGUUUACAGGCAACCAUUGACUUGCAUUUUAUGAAGCACCAAGGACCACGGUUUCAGCUAAAAAUCUUCUUUAAUAUUCUACUCAAGAAAAAAAUCAUUUAUAUCUUAGAUGGUCUUUUUGGGUGUACUACUCCCUUUAAUGCCUCUUUCCUGUUCCUCCAGUGUUUUUGCUCUACAUCUGGUUCAUGGAGUCCUGGUUGACGCCUUUUUACGCGUCUUCGGAUGUCAUCGCCCUUCGAUUUCUGCUCUUCCUUUGCAAGGCCUAUGGAGUUGUGUUACUGCUGAUGCCGCCUUUGAUUGCUGUGGAGUUGUUGGUUGAUCUGCUGUGUCCUCAAAGUGGGCGAACGAAGGGUAGAGAUGCAAGCGAAUCCCUCUCUAGUACAGUUGGCUAUUUGGGAUGUUUUCUAGCAUGGAGCAUGAGCGGGAUCUACAGCAGCCACGACUGGAUGCUGGAGCAGAUCUCAGUGGAAACCUGUCAAGGAAAAGGUGGCCAUCUUCUCACGUGCCUUCCCAGCGCUGAUGAGUCUUCCUGGGUUCUUCCUUCUAUGGUGGUCCUGUUGAGUUUAACAGGGAGCCUGGGUCUGUUCAGGACGAAGGCAUCCAGAAGAUUGCCUGACUCAUCUAAAAACACACAGAUGGGCAAGAAAAAGGACUAUUUGGGCCCUGGGCUAAUGCAUAUGUCACAAACUCUGGUUGACUCAGAAAAAACACCCAACAGCUGUGGCGUACACAUGGCCGGGUUUGUGAACAGUGAGCCACGACAGAUCUGUCCUGGGAAUGGUGUACUGUGCGCUCAACAAACCGGUUUGGCAGACAGUAUCAAGAAACAAAAGCAAUCAUCCAGCUUUGCAACAUUUGCACAGUCCAAAACCGAUCUUUCUCUGGAAGUCACAUCAUUGGCUGUCUUUAACAGGACAGACGCAAAGUCUCAAAGCAGAUGCUAUUGGUUUCCCAAAAGGGAAAGUCCCUGCUCAGGGCGAGAAAUCUUCACAGGGUUGGUAUGCGUGGCUCUAGUUUGUGUUUUUCCCACAGUCAUCAGUGGUAAUAUUCUCCUAAUCUUUAAUCUGGAGAAUCUGGUGGUGUACAACUUAAAACUCUUAUCUCUAUCAGUUAACAGAGUACCGGAUCUGUAAGUGCUGAAGGUGCAGAUGUGUGGAUAAACAAAUAAAAAUCUAUAUAUUUAA